AUCCUUCAGGUUCUUUCAUGUGAUGAGUGGGGUUGUUCAUGCGCAUGCGUGAGAUGUGCCGUCCCAAGUGUUACGACGGGGCACAGAACCCAUCUGACC
This 99-nucleotide small nucleolar RNA is filed under the name Laticauda laticaudata (blue-ringed sea krait). Its description in RNAcentral is "Small nucleolar RNA U13 (ENSLLTG00000004606.1)". It matches the Rfam family "Small nucleolar RNA U13". The record is from Rfam by way of RNAcentral. Lineage: Eukaryota; Metazoa; Chordata; Lepidosauria; Squamata; Elapidae.